UAUGCUAGGAAUAUGCUAUAUGGAAGGUCUAUAAAUACCACCAUACCAUAACUCCAUCAUUCCACACUCAACACUACACUCCAUCUCUCCCUCUCUCUAUCUUAAUCUUCUUCAUAUCUUCAAGUCUUGUUCUUGAAGAUUCAACAUCCUUUCUAGUAAACUUCAAGAUAGUGUGAAGAUCUAAGGUUGUUCCCAAGGUGUUGUCAAGUGAAUACAAGCUUCCUAUCAUCCCAUAACUUACUUGAAUCUUGAAGUGUUUCAUGUUCUUGAAUGAUGGAAAAAAAUGCAAGUAUUUGGACAAAUAAAUAAUUUGAGGGAUUGUGUUAGCAUAUAAAAACGCACCCAAAGGUGAAGUUGCUUAGUGUUGAU
RNAcentral lists this long non-coding RNA (369 nucleotides) under Helianthus annuus (common sunflower). RNAcentral's name for it is "sRNA HanXRQr2_Chr11g0491411". The record is from RNAcentral. Lineage: Eukaryota; Viridiplantae; Streptophyta; Magnoliopsida; Asterales; Asteraceae.